AGGUAAUGCUUGGGAAUCUAGCUUAUGGAGGGGGAUAACUACGGGAAACUGUAGCUAAUACCGCGUAGAAUCGGGGGAGUGAAAGUGUGGGACCUUCGGGCCACAUGCCAUAGGAUGAGCCCAAGUGGGAUUAGGUAGUUGGUGAGGUAAAGGCUCACCAAGCCGACGAUCUCUAGCUGGUCUGAGAGGAUGACCAGCCACACUGGGACUGAGACACGGCCCAG
RNAcentral lists this ribosomal RNA (224 nucleotides) under uncultured bacterium. RNAcentral describes it as "partial 16S ribosomal RNA". It matches the Rfam family "Bacterial small subunit ribosomal RNA", at positions 108 to 334 of the family's 1533-position model. The record is from RNAcentral.